This 440-nucleotide ribosomal RNA is filed under the name uncultured bacterium. RNAcentral's name for it is "partial 16S ribosomal RNA". It matches the Rfam family "Bacterial small subunit ribosomal RNA", at positions 338 to 795 of the family's 1533-position model. The record is from RNAcentral.
CCUACGGGUGGCAGCAGUGGGGAAUAUUGCACAAUGGGGGAAACCCUGAUGCAGCGACGCCGCGUGAGGGAGGAAGUUUUUCGGUAUGUAAAGCUCUAUCAGCAGGGAAGAAAAUUACGGUUCCUGACUAAGAAGCCCCGGCCAACUACGGGCCAGCAGCCGCGGUAAUACGUAGGGGGCCAGCGGUAUCCGGAUUUACUGGGUGUAAAGGGGACGUAGACGGGUAAUCAAGUCAGAAGUGAAAACCCAGGGCUCAACCUUGGGAGUGCUUUUGAAACUGGGUAGCUAGAGUGCAGGAGAGGUAAGCGGAAUGCCUAGUGUAGCGGUGAAAUGCGUAGAUAUUAGGAGGAACACCGGUGGCGAAGGCGGCUUACUGGACUGUAACUGACGUUGAGGCUCGAAAGCGUGGGGAGCAAACAGGAUUAGAUACCCCUGUAGUC